This 441-nucleotide ribosomal RNA is filed under the name uncultured bacterium. RNAcentral describes it as "partial 16S ribosomal RNA". It matches the Rfam family "Bacterial small subunit ribosomal RNA", at positions 338 to 795 of the family's 1533-position model. The record is from RNAcentral.
CCUACGGGAGGCAGCAGUGGGGGAUAUUGCACAAUGGGGGGAACCCUGAAGCAGCGACGCCGCGUGGGUGAAGGAGUGCUUCGGCAUGUAAAGCCCUAUCGGCAGGGAGGAAGCAAGACGAUACCUGACUAAGAAGCCCCGGCGAACGACGAGCCAGCAGCCCCGGUAAUACGUAGGGGGCGAGCCUUAUCCGGAUUAACUGGGUGUAAAGGGAGCGUAGACUGCCAUGCAGGCCUGGGGUGAAAGCCCGGGGCCCAACCCCGGGAAUGCCCUUGGAACUGUGCUGCUAGAGUGCGGGAGAGGCAGGCGGAAUUCCUGGUGUAGCGGUGAAAUGCGUAGAUAUCAGGAGGAACACCGGCGGCGAAGGCGGCCUGCUGGACCGCGACUGACGUUGAGGCUCGAAAGCGUGGGGAGCGAACAGGAUUAGAUACCCGGGUAGUC